UAAAGAAAGCGUAAUAGCUCACUGGUCGAGUCGGCCUGCGCGGAAGAUGUAACGGGGCUAAACCAUGCACCGAAGCUGCGGCAGCGACACUAUGUGUUGUUGGGUAGGGGAGCGUUCUGUAAGCCGUUGAAGGUGUGCUGUGAGGCAUGCUGGAGGUAUCAGAAGUGCGAAUGCUGACAUAAGUAACGAUAAAGCGGGUGAAAAGCCCGCUCGCCGGAAGACCAAGGGUUCCUGUCCAACGUUAAUCGGGGCAGG
RNAcentral lists this ribosomal RNA (255 nucleotides) under Enterobacter hormaechei. Its description in RNAcentral is "partial 23S ribosomal RNA". It matches the Rfam family "Bacterial large subunit ribosomal RNA", at positions 1124 to 1378 of the family's 2925-position model. The record is from RNAcentral. Lineage: Bacteria; Pseudomonadati; Pseudomonadota; Gammaproteobacteria; Enterobacterales; Enterobacteriaceae. RNAcentral also lists the same sequence under 2 other names.